GAUGAACGCUGGCGGUAUGCUUAACACAUGCAAGUCGUACGAAGAUAAAAUUGUGCUUGCACGAUUUUAUACUUAGUGGCGGACGGGUGAGUAACACGUAAGAAUCUACCUUUUGGCGAGGGACAACCACUGGAAACGGUGGCUAAUACCUCAUAUAACUGAGAAGUGAAAGAUGAAAAUCACCAAGAGAUGAGCUUGCGUCUGAUUAGCUAGUUGGUAAGGUAAAGGCUUACCAAGGCGACGAUCAGUAGCUGGUCUGAGAGGAUGAUCAGCCACACUGGGACUGAGACACGGCCCAGACUCCUACGGGAGGCAGCAGUGAGGAAUUUUCCGCAAUGGGCGAAAGCCUGACGGAGCAAUACCGCGUGAAGGAUUAAGGCCUAUGGGUUGUAAACUUCCUUUCUCAGAGAAGAAUUUUGACGGUAUCUGAGGAAUAAGCAUCGGCUAACUCUGUG
This 455-nucleotide ribosomal RNA is filed under the name uncultured bacterium. RNAcentral's name for it is "bacterial SSU rRNA". It matches the Rfam family "Bacterial small subunit ribosomal RNA", at positions 28 to 507 of the family's 1533-position model. The record is from RNAcentral.